UACGGAGGAUUCGAGCGUUAUCCGGAUUUAUUGGGUUUAAAGGGAGCGUAGGCGGGUUGUUAAGUCAGUUGUGAAAGUUUGCGGCUCAACCGUAAAAUUGCAGUUGAUACUGGCAUCCUUGAGUACAGUAGAGGUAGGCGGAAUUCGUGGUGUAGCGGUGAAAUGCUUAGAUAUCACGAAGAACUCCGAUUGCGAAGGCAGCCCGCUGGACUGUAACUGACGCUGAUGCUCGAAAGUGUGGGUAUCAAACAGG
Molecule: ribosomal RNA, 253 nt
Filed under: uncultured bacterium
Lineage: Bacteria
Description: partial 16S ribosomal RNA
Rfam family: Bacterial small subunit ribosomal RNA
Source: RNAcentral